RNAcentral lists this long non-coding RNA (931 nucleotides) under Coccomyxa subellipsoidea. RNAcentral's name for it is "long non-coding RNA (CSUB_LNC000437)". The record is from RNAcentral. Lineage: Eukaryota; Viridiplantae; Chlorophyta; Trebouxiophyceae; Coccomyxaceae.
UAUUGGGGUCGACGGCUCAUCGCUCCCCAGAUCCGUCCAGCUCCUGAGUUGGCAAUGGGGGGUAAGUAUCCAACAGAUGAAAAUCGCCUCUUGACAGAUCUUGCCAAAUGGGACAUCUCCUCCACAAGAUUUCCCGAUGCCUGUCAAAAAAGAAGCUGCUGCCUACGGUGCUGCGGAAAGCUUUACUAUGGAAAUUCUGGCAAGGGCGCGGUGGGUCUUACGCGCUAGAAGGAAAAAGGGUGACAGCAAUUUCAUGUGAAGCAAGCCCUAUGCGCUCACGCAGAGCAGAACAUAACAUGCUGUCCAUGUGUGCAUGCACUUUUGCAAGGCGUUUCACUCACCCUCUCAGCGGUUCCCUGUAGUCCAGAAUGUCUCCGGUGCUGCUGUGGUGCGCGCGCUCGCUCUCUGGGGUUUCCUGUGAUGCCAUGGCCGCAGUAGCGCCCUUAUGUUGUGUCAGGCCAGGCUCGGGCGCAGAUAUAUCCUCCUGCUCUGGGUCAACUGCCGGGGUGAGCAUCUGGCUGAAGGCUGCGGCGUCGGGCUCCUUGGUUGCAGGCGCCUGAGCAGGUGCAGAUUCCAUUAUGUGAUGAAGACCACAUUUUGGAUGGUAGGAACUUUGAGAAAAGCAAUAUGUAAUGAAUAGGCGUGGCAUGCACCACAUCUCUUAUGAUAAAAAAAAGGACGACACCAGCGAGAGCUGAUGGUGCAGCCAUCCACUUCCUCACAUCAAGAAGAGUCAUGCCUUUGCACAAAUGCACAGGAUUAUGGAAGCAUGCUCACAAGCAAGCUCAAGAUUCAAGCAUCAUAAUUACAUUGCAAGCAGUUUCGUGGGUAGGGCAGGAGAUUGAAUUCACCUCCUGCACGUCCUCGAAGAGCUCCACGGUGAGCCCGGCGAAGGUGACCAGCUUCUGCAGCCUCAUCGCCGCCGGCAUGG